RNAcentral lists this ribosomal RNA (466 nucleotides) under uncultured bacterium. RNAcentral's name for it is "partial 16S ribosomal RNA". It matches the Rfam family "Bacterial small subunit ribosomal RNA", at positions 339 to 795 of the family's 1533-position model. The record is from RNAcentral.
CUACGGGACGCAGCAGUGAGGAAUUUUGCGCAAUGGGCGAAAGCCUGACGCAGCAACGCCGCGUGAGUGAUGAAGGCUUUUGGGUCGUAAAGCUCUGUCAAUGGGAAAGAAAGUGUAUUUUGUUAAUAGCAGAUUAUAUUGACGGUACCCACGAAGGAAGCACCGGCUAACUCCGUGCCAGGCAGCCGCGGUAACACGGGGGGUGCAAGCGUUAUUCGGAAUUAUUGGGCGUAAAGGGCGCGCAGGCGGAAGUUCAGGUCAGAUGUGAAAGCCCGGGGCUCACCCCCGGAAGUGCAUUUGAAACCGAAUUUCUUGAAUAUGGUAGAGGGAAGUGGAAUUCCUGGUGUAGAGGUGAAAUUCGUAGAUAUCAGGAGGAACACCGGUGGCGAAGGCGACUUCCUGGGCCAAUAUUGACGCUGAGGCGCGAAGGCGUGGGUAGCAAACAGGAUUAGAUACCCCAGUAGUC